UACACUCCUACGGGAGGCAGCAGUGGGGAAUAUUGGACAAUGGGCGCAAGCCUGAUCCAGCCAUGCCGCGUGAGUGAUGAAGGCCCUAGGGUUGUAAAGCUCUUUCACCGGUGAAGAUAAUGACGGUAACCGGAGAAGAAGCCCCGGCUAACUUCGUGCCAGCAGCCGCGGUAAUACGAAGGGGGCUAGCGUUGUUCGGAUUUACUGGGCGUAAAGCGCACGUAGGCGGACUAUUAAGUCAGGGGUGAAAUCCCGGGGCUCAACCCCGGAACUGCCUUUGAUACUGGUAGUCUUGAGUUCGAGAGAGGUGAGUGGAAUUCCGAGUGUAGAGGUGAAAUGCGUAGAUAUUCGGAGGAACACCAGUGGCGAAGGCGGCUCACUGGCUCGAUACUGACGCUGAGGUGCGAAAGCGUGGGGAGCAAACAGGAUUAGAAACCCCAGUAGUCCCAUG
This 451-nucleotide ribosomal RNA is filed under the name uncultured organism. RNAcentral describes it as "partial 16S ribosomal RNA". It matches the Rfam family "Bacterial small subunit ribosomal RNA", at positions 332 to 799 of the family's 1533-position model. The record is from RNAcentral.